AUGUGCUUCUCCACCAGGGCCUCCUACACGCUCACCAUGGGCAACGCCUCUGUCAAUGAUGUGCAUGCCAUUCCAAUAUGGUCUUCAUGCGUUCCCAACCGGGUGAAGAUUUUUGCCUGGCUGCUAUUCCGAGGUCGACUCAACUCCAAAAGCAACCUACUCCGCAAGCACAUGGUCACUAACUCUCUAUGUCCACGUUGCGGCUUCAAUGGUGAAACACGCUUGCACAUAUUCAUCGACUGCCCACUCACGCAGCGGAUAUGGCAACGGGUUGGCAUUUACCCAUCGGCCACCUUUGACGAUCUUUGGGACUGUCGUCUCCCCUCUCAGCUGGAUGCGGCAAUCUGGCACUCCAUCCUCCUCAUUAUCCUAUGGAAGAUCUGGGACUCGAGAAAUGCUAUGACCUUCAGGCAGCAAAACCACCAUAGUAUCCUCACCCUUAAGAGAAUCAUUGAUGAUCUCAUGCUCUGGACACACAGGAUGAAGAAAACAGAGCAAAAGCAGGCCGCCUCCUUAUGGUGUUCCUAC
Molecule: ribosomal RNA, 528 nt
Filed under: Triticum aestivum (bread wheat)
Lineage: Eukaryota; Viridiplantae; Streptophyta; Magnoliopsida; Poales; Poaceae
Description: partial small subunit ribosomal RNA
Source: RNAcentral